Molecule: small nuclear RNA, 107 nt
Organism: Onychomys torridus (southern grasshopper mouse)
Lineage: Eukaryota; Metazoa; Chordata; Mammalia; Rodentia; Cricetidae
Source: RefSeq, a predicted model, not a curated record
AAGGUCACCUCUGCAGCAUAGAUAUUACAUUUGGAACCACACAGAGAACACUAGCAUAGCCCCUGCCCAAGGAUGACAUGGAAAUUCACGAAUCAUUCCAUAUUUUU